RNAcentral lists this ribosomal RNA (401 nucleotides) under uncultured bacterium. Its description in RNAcentral is "bacterial SSU rRNA". It matches the Rfam family "Bacterial small subunit ribosomal RNA", at positions 356 to 774 of the family's 1533-position model. The record is from RNAcentral.
GGGGAAUAUUGCACAAUGGGCGAAAGCCUGAUGCAGCAACGCCGCGUGAGUGAUGAAGGCCUUCGGGUUGUAAAGCUCUGUCUUCUGGGACGAUAAUGACGGUACCAGAGGAGGAAGCCACGGCUAACUACGUGCCAGCAGCCGCGGUAAUACGUAGGUGGCAAGCGUUGUCCGGAUUUACUGGGCGUAAAGGAUGCGUAGGCGGAUACUUAAGUCAGAUGUGAAAAUCCCGGGCUUAACUUGGGAACUGCAUUUGAAACUGGGUAUCUAGAAUGCGGGAGAGGAAAGUGGAAUUCCUAGUGUAGCGGUGAAAUGCGUAGAGAUUAGGAAGAACACCAGUUGCGAAGGCGACUUUCUGAACCGUAACUGACGCUGAGGCAUGAAAGCGUGGGGAGCAAACA